Long non-coding RNA from Capra hircus (goat), 3569 nucleotides. RefSeq lists it as uncharacterized. The record is from RefSeq and is a predicted model, not a curated record. The transcript is spliced from 4 exons. NCBI's taxonomy places the organism in Eukaryota, Metazoa, Chordata, Mammalia, Artiodactyla, Bovidae.
CGGGCGGGGAUGAGCCGACUACUCGCGGGAGGAGGGCGGGAGUCCGGCUGCGGGGCGGAGGGGAGGGCUCGGAGGAGGCGCUCGGGUGCCGGGACCCUCGGGCGCCGCCGGGGAGCGCGGGCCCCAGUGCGGGGGGCGGGGGGGGCGCGGCCCCGGGGAGCCCUGGAGGAGUCUCGUCCGAGCCCUUCUCAGGGAUCCUGCGGGACUUCCCCGCAGAUGCGGGUGCGAGUGAGUUAAUUCAUCGGAAGGCGGCUCGCGGCCUGAGAGCGACGCGGGAGACUGGGGGUGCGGCGUGGGGGAGGGUAAAUCGCCUCCUUCCGACCGACGCGGCGCUCUCGGUGGCAGAGGAAGGCGUGGGGCCGGGCAGAGCAUGGAGAUGGUCUUGCCCGGGCCUCUCGGGCACCCAGCCUGCUGAAACGAGGCCUGGGAGCGCGUCUCCGGCAAGCCCUCUGAGGUCCCACCGCGCCGAGCGCCCUCGGUUCUUUCCACACCGGCUCUGCCGCUUCUGCAGCGAGGCCUGGGACCGAUGACUCACCCUGCCGGCUAAUUACAGCGUUAAAUAACUUCGCGCUGGAUCCCGGGGAAGCGGGCGGCGCGGCAGCUAGGGAACGCGGCGCGGGAGGAGGGGCCGGGGGAGAGGCAGGGGUGCUUUGAGAACACACACCCGUUCCUGCCGCCCGCUCGGCGAGUUCUGGCCUGUGGAGGCUCCCCCAGAGCUCACAGCGUCGGGCCCUUUCCUGCAGUGUCCAGCGGUGCCCGGUGAGCAGGGGCACCAGCCCCCAGAGGGCCCUCGCGUCUGGAGGAAGCCUCACCCACAUUCGCCAGGCAGCCCGCGCAAGGGGACCCUCGCCCACGUUUCACGGAAACCAUCUGCCCAGUGAAUAUAUGUGAAGGCCUUUCGUGCGUCUCUCUGGACAUUUGCGUGGGACGGACGUGAACGGCGGUGGCUGUGCGGAGAAGGAGCAGGGAGACGAGGUUUGCAGCCACCUCCGUGGAGGAAGGAGCAGCUUCUCCAUUCCUUACACUGUGCUGCGGCAGCCGGAUUGAUGAGGCUUUGCGGGAGGAAGUGAGCUGCCUUGGCUGGUCCUGAGCCCCGCCAGGAUGGAGGCCUGGGUUGGCCUGGGCGAGCUGCAGGCGGCCUUGCAGCAGCCUCUCAAGUCCGAGGACCCAGGCAGGCUCGUGGUUUAGGAUUCCUCCAGGAUCUGGCCUCCUCUCUCCUCCAGAGCCUGUGUCUGCCAGCCCUUCGCUCGACCCCUGGCCACUGCCCUAUCCCUUAAAUGAGUGGUGCCUCUUACCAAAGCAAGCCCUCGGCAUAUGCUGUUCCCGUUUCUGCUUUAUGUUCCCCAGGCCACAUCCUCAGCCGGCUUCUGCUGUCCCCUUUCUUAGACCUUAGCUUCAGCUCCCUUAAUUGCCCUAACUUCUAUUGGGUGCCCACCCUCCUUUGAACAGUGGAAAGAGUGCCCCCAAAGACUUUCCUGUUUAGUCCUGGCAACGAGCCCUGAGGCAGGUGGGCCUGCUAUCCUCACAGAGGUUUUCCACCCCAAACCCAGACUCUGCCCACCUCCCUGGCCCCCACCUCCCUGCACCCUUUCCUUCCUGCACCCCUCCUCCUUGCACCCCUGCCUCCCUGCCCCUCAGCUUCUGGACAAAGUUCCCCCAUAACAGGCAGGAUCUCCCAGUGGUCUAAAUGUCUGUCUUCCCAACCAUAUUGGGGGCUCAGUGCAAGCAGGGUCCAUGCCCAGCUUGACCCCACCCCCUCCCCAUCAGGACUCCAUCAGGCCCGUCCUGGCCAUGUGGAAUGGACAGGUGAGCAGAUGGAUGAGUGAGUGGACUGCCGCCGACCUGGGGGUGCCCUGUCCUGUGACACCAUCUAGUGUCAGUCCAGUUUUGCUCACAAGAACAGGGCCAGGUGACACAGACAGGUCCGCAGGACGGCGAGGACCCACCUCCCUGCUGCAGUGAGGGGGGGCACUCUGGCCAGGAGCCAGAAGCAGAACUGUGGAGCCCUGCAAGGCAGAAUGACCAGCAGGCGUCCUGCCGUGACGGGCCUUGAGCUGCGCGAGUUCGGACUUCAUCCCGAGGGAGGAAGGGACAGCAGCCUGCAGUCCCUGCCACACACGGCUCCCAGGGACCCUGUAGCCGCGCCACGCUCACCUCCGCAACCCAUGCGUAGUUCGAAAGUUAACUCCACUGCUUUCUUCUAAUGGCUGUGCUGGGUCUUUGUUGCUGCUCAUGGGCUUUCUGCAGUUGUGGCAAGUGGGGCCUGCUCUCCAGGCGUAGUGUUUGGGGCUCACUGCCGUGGUUUUGGGGUGCAGAGCAUGGGCCCUAGGGCUCCCGGGCUUCAGCAGUUGCGGCUCAGGCCUGGUAGUUGCGGCUCGCGGGCUGUGUUGUCCCGAGGUGUGUAGGACCUUCUCAGACCAGGACUCGAGCCCAUGUCCCCUGCGCUGGCAGGUGGAUGCUUUACCGCUGAGCCACCAGAGAGGCCCUCCCCUGCUUUCUGGCAGAGUCCUUUCCCCCCGCCCCCAACAGGCUCACCUGUGAAGCUUGUGCCCCACCACAGCCCCUGGCACAGCGGGGUCCAGGGGGUGACUUGAGGGCUGGGGUGAACUCUGAGGCAGGGAGCUCAUGCCAGAAAGAAGCAGCGCUCUCAUGAGAAAUGACUCUACAUGGGGAGGGGUGGGUGGCAAGGAGUGAUUUUGAGAAUCACAAACCCUACCACAUACCAAGCGAGUUCACAGGGACCCUUGUGGUGCCUCUGUGUGGGCACAUCACAGCCACACUCUAAACACAGGGCCAGAGAGGACAGUGUUUUCAAAGCGCCACGUUUUUAUAGCAGUAAGCACGUGUCAAGUGAAGAGUGUUUGUCGUAUUACCGUUAAAUUUCAUUUUAAUAUUUGCAUAUUUACUAGCAUUUAAAAUUCAGCUUCCUGCAGUGUUUACUUCAGUUAAUUUGGCUGAAUUCUGAUUGUUUUUCUAAUUUGUCUUUCACCUUACCUUCCAAUAUUCCAUCCUUUGCCUUUUUAGCUGGCUAAGAGCUCAGAUUUCUCUUUCAUUAUUAAUUCUAAGCCCCUUUUUUAGGGACGAUCAGCAUAGAUCUUCCUGCAGAAGUGCAGCCACCUCUGCACAGGUGAGGGCUCACCUGAGGAACGCAGUCUCACAAACUCAGAGCCUGUGAACUCUUGGAGACACAGAAGCCAAAUCAGGAAGCAGGACGCUGCCGACUCAAGCACGCGGCCCACCUCGCCCUCCCCCAGCGGCCCUGCUGACCUCAGUGAACGGCCUCCUGUGUCUGUCUGUGCUUCAGUCACCUAAGCACACGUCCCUGAACGUUUCGGUUUGGCUUUGCCCGUUUUUUUUUUUUUUAAUACAAGUGGAAUCAUAACGCUGAUCGUUGCACACCUUGUUUCUUUCGUCCAACUUGGUGCCUGUUGUUGUGUCUGCUCUUUAUCUCUGUCACAGCUGGUACUGAGCCAUUGUGUGAAGGUGCCACAGUUUAUCCACAUUACUGAUGAUGAGCAUUUGAUUGUUUCUAGUUUGGGAUAUGAUGAAUAAAGCUGUUGUGAACUUUC